RNAcentral lists this ribosomal RNA (661 nucleotides) under uncultured Bacteroidales bacterium. RNAcentral describes it as "bacterial SSU rRNA". It matches the Rfam family "Bacterial small subunit ribosomal RNA", at positions 68 to 718 of the family's 1533-position model. The record is from RNAcentral. Lineage: Bacteria; Pseudomonadati; Bacteroidota; Bacteroidia; Bacteroidales.
GGCAGCAUGGUCUUAGCUUGCUAAGACUGAUGGCGACCGGCGCACGGGUGAGUAACACGUAUCCAACCUGCCGUCUACUCUUGGACAGCCUUCUGAAAGGAAGAUUAAUACAAGAUGGCAUCAUGAGUCCGCAUGUUCACAUGAUUAAAGGUAUUCCGGUAGACGAUGGGGAUGCGUUCCAUUAGAUAGUAGGCGGGGUAACGGCCCACCUAGUCUUCGAUGGAUAGGGGUUCUGAGAGGAAGGUCCCCCACAUUGGAACUGAGACACGGUCCAAACUCCUACGGGAGGCAGCAGUGAGGAAUAUUGGUCAAUGGGCGAGAGCCUGAACCAGCCAAGUAGCGUGAAGGAUGACUGCCCUAUGGGUUGUAAACUUCUUUUAUAAAGGAAUAAAGUCGGGUAUGGAUACCCGUUUGCAUGUACUUUAUGAAUAAGGAUCGGCUAACUCCGUGCCAGCAGCCGCGGUAAUACGGAGGAUCCGAGCGUUAUCCGGAUUUAUUGGGUUUAAAGGGAGCGUAGAUGGAUGUUUAAGUCAGUUGUGAAAGUUUGCGGCUCAACCGUAAAAUUGCAGUUGAUACUGGAUAUCUUGAGUGCAGUUGAGGCAGGCGGAAUUCGUGGUGUAGCGGUGAAAUGCUUAGAUAUCACGAAGAACUCCGAUUGCGA